GGAUUAAAUAUGAACCUUGUUUAUGCCAGGUAUAAUAAUAUCUUCUUUUAAGAAUCAUAAAAUUAGAGUAAUAAGAAUUUCUGUUAUUAGUAGAAAUGAUAGUACAAGUGACUGUGGUUUAAAUUAUACCACUGAGAAUUAGCAAAUAUUAUCAAGAAAAUAGACACACGGCCCUUCAGUCCGCCAGUCAUGACUCAAUGUUAUAAGUACACACUUUUUUACUAUGACAAAAUUGAAUUUUGGCAUGGUUUGUAUUAUUUCGUCAAGUUAGAUAAACUCCAUUGAGGGUGCAGACAGUGGAUCAUUUUGAUACAGCUUGUUUGAUAUAACUAUGUCAACAUUAUUAAGAGCCGUGAAAACUAAAAACCCCCUUGCUUCGUGAAAAGUAAAAUACGAUGAAAAAAUCCUUCCAUUUUUAUCAUUGUAGUUUGUAGUUAAGCGAACGAACUUUUACUUUAGAGUAUAAAUAUACAGGCUUAGGCACAGGUUAUAGUUUCAGUAGAACCAAAGAAGUUUCAAAAAUUCGGAGUAGAUAAGCAUUUAUUUGAUUAUGCUUGUGAUCAUAAGAGAAAACCACCGUUGCGCCAUACACGUUAAUUGGUAUAUAUUUACCAAAAUAACUAAAAACUUCAAGAAUGUUUGAAAAUUGGAGUAGACAGAGAGCAGCACGAUCAUUUUAAAGCUCGGCCAUUUUUUGUUUUUACUUUUGUUUUUUAUGCUGGUUAUAAAAAUUGAUGCCAUUGCCGCUUUCUUAUCUAAAGACUCAAAUGAGCCAACUUACAUUUUAAAAGUCCAAGGUAAAGAAACUGCUGAAAAUGAUGUAAAAGAUGGUCAUAUUAUAACUAGUUAAUUUUUUGCAUGAUUGAUAGGAUAUUCUAGGCAAAUAAAAGUGUACAAAAGUUUAGACUCCAACUCAUCACGGUACGACAGAUAACACACUGGGCCCUAGGCUCUUUUUGGACCUAAAAAUUGCAGCGCCUCUCAAAUCAUAUCUCAAAUUUUUCCAGUCAUUUUUUUUCAAUUAUUUAUCAUUAUAAGGUGCUUUGAAACUGAAAUUUGGUACCCCCAUAGUUUUUGAAGAAUUAAAAAAUAACGUUAAAAUUAGUGUACAAUAUACAGAUCUUUAGAUAUAGUCCAGUCUUUAAGUGUUUCGACCUGGAAAAAAUGAUAUAGAGCUGAAACUUAGCACACUUGCUCCAUUUUACAUGUAGAUUACCAGAAAAAAAGCUCCAUUGAUAGCAUUUGUAGAAAAUGAGAUAUGCGCCAUUUUUAAAAAUGGCGAACUUUAUAAUUUUUCAGAAAACGAAAGUUGGUAAAUUUGAAAACUAAUUAAACUGUUGAAAAGAACUUUCGAUUUGGAACAAAAAAUAUUAUUACACCAACUUACAAAAAUCAUUAUUUUAAGUGUUUUAAGUUCUUUUUAAUCAAGGGGGUUAGUGGGGAAAGGUAGAUAUAUAGAUAUUCAGAUCUAUUUUUAGUUUUUUUUUCAGUUAUAUUUUUCUUAUAAAAGGUCAGAAAAUAAGUUUGCUUUAUUUAUAUCCCAGACUUUUCGAAUCAUUUAGAAUUUAUCAAAUUCCAGUUUCGAAUGUUUACGUUUAUUUAGUGAUUAAAAGACUGUACACGUAGAAAACGGAAGAUAUGAUAGAGAAGAUACACAUGAUUUCUGAAAAAGCAAUUUCAAGAGCAUUGCGUGCACAUUUUCUUGCUGAGUCUGCAUUGGUGACAAUACUUACGGAAGAGAUUGUUGGUUGCAACGAUGACUUCUCUAUGAACUUCAAAGAUAGAAAAGAAAUUGUACAGAAGUUGAAUUCUGAUGAACUUGCAACUUUUGGUAGAGUGUUUGAUGAAAAAACCAAUACUCUCUACUUGAAGUCUUGAACCGCAAAAUUGUGGAUAUCAUACUUAAAAUACAUUGCAACAAUCAAGAAGUAUAGCAUUGCAGAAAAGACGUCUAACUGGCCACGCCUUCUCGAAGCUACCAAGGAAAUGUUAAACUUGUUUGCAGCCAAGGGACAUAUUAAUUAUGCCAAGAAUGCAUGACUGAACCUUCAACAAAUGGUUGCCCUCCAGCGAAAAAAUCCUUGGCUCCAUCAGAAAUUUUAACAAGGUUCACAUGCCGUUAUAAGAUCCAACCGGUACUGGGCAGGUUUAUGGUCUGACCUUGUGAUCGAACAGGCUCUCAUGAGAUUAAUCAAAACCAGAGGAGAACUCACCAGAGAGAGAGAGGGGUGAAAAAUGAUGUGCGGAAUCUUUGGGUUCUUAGCUUGAAUUCCAGCGCCUCCAUUUAUGAAGCAAUGACUGGCGUCUCUGGUCUUACUGUCAAAGCAAGCGAGCGACAAGUCGAGAUGGGGGCGUCAAGACGCUCCAAAGAUUAUACAUAUUGCAAGAUCUUCAUAGAUUGGCUACAGCAAAGAAAUCCAUUUGUUUAUGAAGACACAAAGCUUCAUUCGCUUUCUUUUGGCUUUACGUCUGAUGAAAAUGAUUGUUUUUCAGUAGGUGAAUGCUCAAUCAAGCGGAAGGACCAGGUUAAGCCCAUCAUUUCCUUGCAAUCCAAAUUCCAAUUGAAUAAAGAAUCUGUCAUAGUCAAUCCAACGGUGUUGUUCACACGAUUGGUAGCCAUAGCGCAAAGGGAAAAAGAAGACAUCGAAUAAUUUUUUGCUUUCGAACUAAAACAAGAGCCAGUGUCCCUCUUUAAAAAGGUUAAUGAGAAAACCUGACAAGUCCUCAUUACGUAAAGCUGUGAUGAACGAUGAUGAAGCACUGGAAAAAAAUCAAAUGCAAAUUGAUCCUUAUUUCGUAGUCGAUGGUGAAGCGCUUUUGCAUAGAGUCCGUUGGAUCGAAAAUUCUACUUUUGAUGAACUAUUGCAAGUUUACGUUAGUUACGUUCGACGGCACUAUAAAUCUUGCAUUGUCUUUGAUCGAUACGAUGGUCCUAGCACGAAAUCAAAUGCGCGCAUGCGACGAACAGGUGAUGGAAAACGAUGCCCAAUUUCGAUGUUUUUGGUUUCAACAAAAUAACUUUUACCAAAGAAAGUUUUCUAAAUAACGAAGAUAACAAAACCUGUUUUAUCAGGCAUAUCAGCAUAAAACUUUAGCAAGACGGGCAAACAGUAAAGAUUUGUGAUGGUGAUGCUGAUACAACAAUCGCCGCAACCGCACUAAAAGAAGCCGAAACAAACCACCAAAAGGCCGUUGUAACAGUUGCCGAUGAUACUGAUGUUGCAAUGAUGCUUCUAUACCAUUGUCAAGAACAGAGGUUGGAUAAAGCCUUGAACAUGAAAGUUGUCUGUCAGAAAUGGAACCCUAUCCGACAGCAUAUUCCUUUUUUGCAUUCGUUUUCCGGCUGGGACACAAUAAUGGCUGAUGUUUGGGGAGACAACAGAGAUGUCAAAGAAGCUGCCAUCAAAGCGUUUUAAAUCAUUUAUGAUGGUAACGACUUGACCGAUUUAUGCACACUUAGGGGAGUUUGUUACAUAGUAUAAUAUAACAUUUAUUCACAAUACAAAAGGGUUUUCUUCAUUAAAUCUCAAAGUUUGAUCAGAGAAGACUUUAGAUACAGACAUUACCACCAAUGCUUCCUUAUGAUUUUUGGAGAUACAGGAUAUAUCUCGAUAUGUGUUGGAAAGGGAUCGAGUUCAUUUACAGAUAAUGAGAUAUUAGAGGAAGAAAACUUAAGCAAGUUGAUCCAAGCAAAUGGGGCUGGAAAAUUGAAAAUUCUCAAAUGAUGCCAAUAAAGACAGAUAAACCAGUCACCCCUGAUAGCCUCCUAAAAUCAUUAAAUGCAACUGCAAAGCUACUUUGAAGUCACCCUGUGCAACAAAUUUGUGUUCGUGCAGAAAACAUGGUCUUAGCUGUAUGCAGUCUUGUGGAGAAUGUCACGGUGAAACAUGUGAAAAUAAAGAGGUAUUCGAUGGUGAUAGUAACGUCGAAGAUGGUUUGGAAGAUGAAGAAGAGAAUAGAAACAUUUUUGAUAUAUUUG
Molecule: long non-coding RNA, 3979 nt
Organism: Hydractinia symbiolongicarpus
Lineage: Eukaryota; Metazoa; Cnidaria; Hydrozoa; Anthoathecata; Hydractiniidae
Exons: 3
Source: RefSeq, a predicted model, not a curated record